UAUUCGGUCUCAAUUUUUUAGACCAAACUGAAUGGACCGACACUUACCCCUAACAUUGAGGGGAAAAAAUCUAUAAAAAGGCAAAACAUUUAAAAUAAUUGGUAGUUAGAUUGGACAUUUUUGUUUAACGUGCUUGCGAAGAGGUGAAACUAAACGAAGGAAGUCUCAAUGGAAUAAGAAAACUAGAGCACUAUCACAUUACCAGAAAAACAAUGCCACCGGUUGGAUCACUUUCUUGGCAGAAGGUGAUCCAUUCCCUCUACUCCAAACAUCUUGCUUUCCCAAUAGGUAAUUGGUCUCUUAUUAUCCGAUAGGAGGAUGUAAAGAAGAAAAAUC
RNAcentral lists this unclassified non-coding RNA (336 nucleotides) under Hevea brasiliensis (rubber tree). Lineage: Eukaryota; Viridiplantae; Streptophyta; Magnoliopsida; Malpighiales; Euphorbiaceae. The record is from RNAcentral.